Molecule: small nucleolar RNA, 107 nt
Filed under: Olea europaea subsp. europaea
Lineage: Eukaryota; Viridiplantae; Streptophyta; Magnoliopsida; Lamiales; Oleaceae
Description: Plant small nucleolar RNA R71
Rfam family: Plant small nucleolar RNA R71
About the family: R71 is a member of the C/D box family of snoRNAs containing the C (UGAUGA) and D (CUGA) box motifs. Multiple nearly identical copies of this snoRNA have been identified in Arabidopsis, and it is thought to function as a 2'-O-ribose methylation guide for 18S ribosomal RNA.
Source: Rfam by way of RNAcentral
AUCCCAUGGUUUGAACACUUUCUCAUGAGCUCCUUAAAUCUGUUCCAGGCCUCAUGAUAGCUCUCUCAAUCCUUCUGUUGAAAACUUUGAAAUUCCAAUCUGAUUUU